RNAcentral lists this ribosomal RNA (253 nucleotides) under uncultured bacterium. RNAcentral describes it as "partial 16S ribosomal RNA". It matches the Rfam family "Bacterial small subunit ribosomal RNA", at positions 524 to 776 of the family's 1533-position model. The record is from RNAcentral.
UACGUAGGGUCCGAGCGUUGUCCGGAGUUACUGGGCGUAAAGCGCGCGCAGGCGGCGGUGUUGGCCCGGCGUGAAAGCCCCCGGCUCAACCGGGGAGAGUCGUCGGGGACCGCACCGCUUGAGGGCGGUAGGGGCUGGUGGAAUGCCUGGUGUAGUGGUGAAAUGCGUAGAGAUCAGGCAGAACACCUGGGGCGAAGGCGGCCAGCUGGGCCGUCCCUAACGCUGAGGCGCGAAGGCGUGGGGAGCGAACGGG